RNAcentral lists this ribosomal RNA (300 nucleotides) under uncultured Methanocaldococcus sp. RNAcentral's name for it is "bacterial SSU rRNA". The stretch from base 55 to 300 matches the Rfam family "Bacterial small subunit ribosomal RNA", at positions 550 to 795 of the family's 1533-position model. The record is from RNAcentral. Lineage: Archaea; Methanobacteriati; Methanobacteriota; Methanococci; Methanococcales; Methanocaldococcaceae.
UCAGUGGUGAGGCGCGCGGCCCGGGUAAGAUGAACCGUGCGAUCGGUGUUCGGGAUUACGUGGCUUGAAGGGCGGGUGGGCGGGCGGUCGAGUCUGUGGGGAAAUCCGUCGGCUCAACCGGAGAAUAUCUGGGGAUGCUGGCCGUCUCGAGGGGGGUAGUGGCAUGUGGAACUUCCGGUGGAGCGGUGAAAUGCGUAGAUAUCGGAAGGAACGCCGGUGGCGAAAGCGACGUGCUGGACCCUUUCUGACGCUGAGGCGCGAAAGCCAGGGGAGCAAACGGGAUUAGAUACCCGGGUAGUC